CUAGAAGAAGUGCACCUGUCCAUUGAUCGGGUGACACGCAAGCCAAAGGGAUUUGCCUUUGUCAGCUUUCUCUUUCCCGAGCAUGCAAUCCGGGCCUUCACCGAACUGGACGGCCAGAUGCUUCAGGGUCGUCUGCUCCAUCUGUUGCCGGCCAAGGCUAAGAAGUCUGAGGAACAAGAAGGUGAAGGUACAGAGGCCAAAUCAUACAAGGACAAAAAGGAAAUGGAGCUCAAGAAGUCCAGUGGCAAG
This is a long non-coding RNA of Rhipicephalus microplus (southern cattle tick), 249 nucleotides long. NCBI's taxonomy places the organism in Eukaryota, Metazoa, Arthropoda, Arachnida, Ixodida, Ixodidae. The record is from RefSeq and is a predicted model, not a curated record.